CAAUUUUCAACUUGUUCAUGCAUAGCUCAAAAAGUAUUUGACUCUAACAUUAGCACGCUUUAAUGCUAUGUUUAACGCAAAUGAUGUCAUGUCAAAGUGUAAUUACACUAGUGUAAUAUCGUUUUACUAAAUGGCUUUAUUAUACUCCUGCAACGCGUUUUAUGUAACAAACUACCCAAAAAAUAUCAACAGAUACACAAGGCACCUGGUAGAUGCUGGUAAUGGAAAGUUCAACUUGAUGAUUCUCUGUUGGAAUGAGGCCAAGGGUUCCAGCUUGAGAAACAGUAACGGUCAUUGACUUCGUAAUGUUAUUUACAAGUUGUACGUUAUUAUGACGUUGACGUCAAUAUUUUUUUGGAGUGCGCCGCUGUCGCCGACAUGUGUUUAUGUAAAAUUAAAUAUUGUUGUAUUCUAAUUAAGAAGCUAGUAACAUGA
This is a long non-coding RNA of Ruditapes philippinarum (Manila clam), 435 nucleotides long. RefSeq lists it as uncharacterized. The transcript is spliced from 2 exons. The record is from RefSeq and is a predicted model, not a curated record. NCBI's taxonomy places the organism in Eukaryota, Metazoa, Mollusca, Bivalvia, Venerida, Veneridae.